GCAAGUCGAGCGAGAAGCCAUCUUCGGGCGGUGGAGAGCGGCGAACGGGUGAGUAACGCGUAGGUAUCUACCUAGUAGUGGGGAAUAACCAUUGGAAACGAUGGCUAAAACCGCAUACGCCCUGAGGGGGAAAACUGAGGUGCUAUUAGAGGAGCCUGCGUUAGAUUAGCUAGUUGGUGAGGUAAUGGCUCACCAAGGCGACGAUCCGUAGCUGGUCUGAGAGGAUGAUC
Molecule: ribosomal RNA, 230 nt
Filed under: uncultured bacterium
Lineage: Bacteria
Description: partial 16S ribosomal RNA
Rfam family: Bacterial small subunit ribosomal RNA
Source: RNAcentral